GACGAACGCUGGCGGCGUGCCUAAUACAUGCAAGUAGAACGCUGAAGGAGGAGCUUGCUUCUCUGGAUGAGUUGCGAACGGGUGAGUAACGCGUAGGUAACCUGCCUGGUAGCGGGGGAUAACUAUUGGAAACGAUAGCUAAUACCGCAUAAUAGUAGAUGUUGCAUGACAUUUGCUUAAAAGGUGCACUUGCAUCACUACCAGAUGGACCUGCGUUGUAUUAGCUAGUUGGUGGGGUAACGGCUCACCAAGGCGACGAUACAUAGCCGACCUGAGAGGGUGAUCGGCCACACUGGGACUGAGACACGGCCCAGACUCCUACGGGAGGCAGCAGUAGGGAAUCUUCGGCAAUGGACGGAAGUCUGACCGAGCAACGCCGCGUGAGUGAAGAAGGUUUUCGGAUCGUAAAGCUCUGUUGUAAGAGAAGAACGAGUGUGAGAGUGGAAAGUUCACACUGUGACGGUAUCUUACCAGAAAGGGACGGCUAACUACGUG
RNAcentral lists this ribosomal RNA (495 nucleotides) under uncultured bacterium. RNAcentral's name for it is "partial 16S ribosomal RNA". It matches the Rfam family "Bacterial small subunit ribosomal RNA", at positions 28 to 507 of the family's 1533-position model. The record is from RNAcentral.